This 378-nucleotide ribosomal RNA is filed under the name uncultured eukaryote. RNAcentral describes it as "SSU rRNA". It matches the Rfam family "Eukaryotic small subunit ribosomal RNA", at positions 587 to 972 of the family's 1831-position model. The record is from RNAcentral.
AGCUCCAAUAGCGUAUAUUAAAGUUGUUGCAGUUAAAAAGCUCGUAGUUGGAUUUCUGCUUUGACGGUGCGGUCUGGCUCUGCUAUGCACUGUGCUCGUCAGGGCAUCAAUCUGGGGAUCGUUUCUGCACUUGACUGUGUGGAGCGAGAGCCAGGACUUUUACUUUGAGAAAAUUAGAGUGUUUCAAGCAGGCGAUUGCCUUGAAUACAUUAGCAUGGAAUAAUAAGGUAGGACUUUGGUUCUAUUUUGUUGGUUUCUGGGGCCGAGGUAAUGAUUAAUAGGGAUAGUUGGGGGCAUUCGUAUUUAACUGUCAGAGGUGAAAUUCUUGGAUUUGUUAAAGACGAACCGCUGCGAAAGCGUUUGCCAAGGAUGUUUUCA